UUAAGCAUAUCAGUAAGCAGAGGAAAAGAAAACAACUGUGAUUCCCUUAGUAACUGCGAGUGAAGCGGGAUAAGCCCAUCGUUUAAUCCUCCCGGACUGUGGACGGGAUGAAAUGUAACGGUAUGGAUAGGUUCUCUACCAACAAAGUCUAAUCAAAGUCCUCCGGAUUGAGGUGCCAGAGAGGGUGACAGCCCCGUGUGUGAUUGGACUGAGUUGGGUAUGUGACCGAUUCCGAGAGUCGGGUUGUUUGGGACUGCAACCUAAAGUAGGUGGUAAACUCCACCCAAGGCUAAAUAUUGACACGAAACCGAUAGCGAACAAGUACUGUGAAGGAAAGUUGAAAAGAACUCUGAAAAGAGAGUUAAAAGUACGUGAAACCGCUAACGGGGAAGCGGAAGGCAGUGUCGAGAUUGAGUAAGUGAGUCGUUUGAUGCGUAUGUAAGAGUCGUAGUGCGGUUAAAAAGUGCGCGUGAAACGGUUUGCUUGCUCGAUGCGUCAGGACUAUUGGGGCUUGAAGGUCAAUUGUUGGCUCGGCUUGCACGACACCUAGACUCGUCUGGGCUCGUGUUUGCGACCGGCAAUCCCCUUUGAGCUCUGAUAUGUGUGUGAUGAGGCGUUGGUGAUGUAUGGUCGGUUGGUGCAGUGCGAUGCUUCGUUCUGGUCACAUUGUGGCUACGUGCGGAGAAGUCGUGUUGUAGUUCAACAACCAAUGCCAGUUUCUGACGUGAUACCCAACUUUC
RNAcentral lists this ribosomal RNA (740 nucleotides) under Kudoa uncinata. RNAcentral describes it as "partial 28S ribosomal RNA". It matches the Rfam family "Eukaryotic large subunit ribosomal RNA", at positions 34 to 644 of the family's 3401-position model. The record is from RNAcentral. Lineage: Eukaryota; Metazoa; Cnidaria; Myxozoa; Multivalvulida; Kudoidae.